Non-coding RNA from Vicia faba (fava bean), 402 nucleotides. The record is from the annotation of a GenBank genome assembly. NCBI's taxonomy places the organism in Eukaryota, Viridiplantae, Streptophyta, Magnoliopsida, Fabales, Fabaceae.
AUGUCCUUAAUGACACAUCCCAGCACGAGAAAGCCUUCAACGAAACAUCCUGCAUCCACAAAAACCAGAAACGUAUCCUUUGCUUGGUUAUCAUCUUCCUGCACAAACAACCUUGUAUUCAUGCUGCACGGCUUCACCGCAAGCCUCGCGAACUCUCUUGAAUGCUCCACUGAUUCCUGCGUAAGGUUCUUUGGGGUCACCUCCUUGUUGUCAAAAACCUUAGAGUUCCUUACAUGUCAAAGUUUCCAUAAAGUGGUGCACACAACCGGUCCCAAAGAAGGUUCAGCACAAUCCAAAAUUGAUUCCACCCAUUCAACUAAGGCCAGAUUUUCAGGAAUCCUUAUCCCCAUCGGCAACGCGAACCAGACUAACUUCGCAAAACGACAGUGCAUAAAAAUGUGA